AUCGUUGUUUAGGACAUUGGACUUGUAUAAUUGUUCUGAAUCGGCGUUUAUGAUAGUCGGCUUGUUGAGCGAGUUGUGGAUUUUAUGCGUUAAAUCAUAUAAACAGUCAACUUUCCUCUCAACUGUUAAGUCAUUUUCAGGUACUGAAUCAACUGUUAAUAUUACAUUUAAAUUUUCUGUAGUGCAAUCAUGUAAGUCGUUACUAACCUCAUUGUUGUUAACAAGAUUGGUAGGCUCAUUAGGUACACUUGGGCAAGUGUCUUUUGUGUUGCAAGGAUUCAGAUUACCAUAUUUAUCCGCUUCAAAUGUUGGCGCUUUCGAAGUUGCACUACAAUGAUUUGUCUCUUUCCAGUUCGCAAAAUCCCGAAAUUGUGUAAUCAUCGACGCGAGUUGUGCAACAGACCCCGAUAGCGCUUGAAUCGCUUCUCCACUGAUCAACUGUUCCUGUUUAAGAGUUUCAAUCCCCUCACAAGUACAUGAUGAUUGCACGCUUGAUCGCCUCGAGAGAGGCGUUUCUGAGCUGUCUUCGUCUUGCCCACAUAUAAUUUUACACAACUUUCCCACAAUAUCGUUUGCUCUCUUCCAUUCGAUACUCAGCAAGUUCUUAUUCUUUCGCCAAAUUAUCGUCGCUUCAACUCCAGUGAAUAUAGCUUUUUAUCUCCUCCAGGCUGCGACCAAACGCCUUCCAGCUGCAGAUCGUCGCUUACAAAAUUAUUCAGUGAUUGAUAAUCACCAGUGCAUGCUAAGCUAAGCUUUUCACCAAAUAAUAUCGCCAUAACCUUAUUCGCGUUCAAAGAUUAUGCGUUCAAAAACUAACCAAGUAAAUUAUUGAUUCAUUUAUAGUCUAUAUACUUUCUUAAUAACUAAAGUUGAGGAGCCCAAAAAUAGACAUCCUCCUC
This is a non-coding RNA of Paramuricea clavata, 899 nucleotides long. The record is from the annotation of a GenBank genome assembly. NCBI's taxonomy places the organism in Eukaryota, Metazoa, Cnidaria, Anthozoa, Malacalcyonacea, Plexauridae.